Picea glauca (white spruce) is the source of this 117-nucleotide non-coding RNA. The record is from Rfam. NCBI's taxonomy places the organism in Eukaryota, Viridiplantae, Streptophyta, Pinopsida, Pinales, Pinaceae.
UGCCUAAAACAUAUUGUUAAUGCACCAGAUCCCAUUAUAACUCUGUAGUUAAGCAUGCUCGGGCUAGAGUAGUAUUGGGAUGGGUGACCUCCCUGGAAGUCCUCGUAUUUUACAUGC